This 939-nucleotide long non-coding RNA is filed under the name Equus caballus (horse). RNAcentral's name for it is "lncRNA (ENSECAG00000029891.3)". Lineage: Eukaryota; Metazoa; Chordata; Mammalia; Perissodactyla; Equidae. The record is from RNAcentral.
CUCUGAUACUAAUGGGCUAUGUGACCCUGGGCAAGGCCCAGCACCCUUCCAACACAGCUUCUCAGCUUCAACCAAGAACCUGAAGGAACUCAAGUAGAUCUGAAGUGGCUGACUCCCCUUGAAGGCCCUGGGGUGAGGGGGUAAGAGAUGACACUGAAGUGGCGUAUCUUUUGCUACCAUGAGGACUGCCCCACGCAGAAGUGCUUCUGAGAUAACAGCCUCAAGAGCAGCAGGUUUUGGACAAGGGUCAUGAUUAUCUUUUAUCUGACAGCACCAAGCAGAGUACAGAACACACAGUAGGCUCCACCCAGCUGAGAUCCCUCUGAAACUGUGAUAUACGACAUCACUGCCUCAGGACCUGUCCAACUGUCAGACAGCAGGAAGCUGCCCCACUCGUGAACAUCUAUUCGACUCUCCAAGUCCGGGGAGUCUACCUGGCACACAGGAGGCGUGACUCACAUGUGGCUAUGGCAGAUCUCCUCCCUCCUCCCAAGGCUUACCAGGCAACCUUGGCCUAAAGCACAGAAUGUUCUCGGUAAACAUAAAGGACCCUAAAAAUAUUAACAGUGAUUGUUAUUGUUGUUAUUAAAUCUACAGUUUGGAGCAGUAACCACAAAAUUGGUGACUUCCACAAGUCCAAUUAUGACCACUACAAAGUGGACAAAAUAAAACUUUUCUCCUAGGAAUCUUAAUCUGUUUCUCCAAUAGUGAUUCUCAAAGGGGCAUGAUUUUGCACCUGGGGGAGAUUUAGCAAUGUCUGGAGACGUGUUUGGUUGUCACAAUGGGGGCUGGCAGGGGUCUUCCUGGCAUCUAGUGGGUAGAGGCCAGAGAUGCUGCUAAACAUUCUCCAGUGCGUGGGAUGGUCCCCACAACAAAGAAAUAUCCUACCCAAAACGUCAGGGUGCUGAGGUUGAGAAAUCCUAUCCUAUGGGAUUAUGG